GAUGAACGCUGGCGGCGUGCCUAAUACAUGCAAGUCGAGCGAACAGACGAGGAGCUUGCUCCUCUGACGUUAGCGGCGGACGGGUGAGUAACACGUGUAUAACCUACCUAUAAGACUGGGAUAACUUCGGGAAACCGGAGCUAAUACCGGAUAAUAUAUUGCACCGCAUGGUUCAAUAGUGAAAGACGGUUUUGCUGUCACUUAUAGAUGGAUCUGCGCCGCAUUAGCUAGUUGGUAAGGUAACGGCUUACCACGGCAACGAUGCGUAGCCGAGCUGAGAGGGUGAUCGGCCACCCGAGAACGGAGACACGGUCCAGACUCCUACGGGAGGCAGCAGUAGGGAAUCGUCCGCAGUGGGCGAAAGCCUGACGGAGCAACGCCGCGUGAGUGAUGAAGGUCUUCGGAUCGUAAAACUCUGUUAUUAGGGGAGAACAAAUGUGUAAGUAGCUAUGCACGUCUUGACGGUACCUAAUCAGAAAGCCACGGCUAACUACGUG
RNAcentral lists this ribosomal RNA (497 nucleotides) under uncultured bacterium. RNAcentral describes it as "partial 16S ribosomal RNA". It matches the Rfam family "Bacterial small subunit ribosomal RNA", at positions 28 to 507 of the family's 1533-position model. The record is from RNAcentral.